GUCAGUGUCGUCUAGUGGUUAGGACGCGAGCUUCACACGCUCGAGAUCGAGGGUUCGAUCAUUGCACUUGGCCUUGGGACU
Molecule: transfer RNA, 81 nt
Filed under: Phytophthora infestans (potato late blight agent)
Lineage: Eukaryota; Oomycota; Peronosporomycetes; Peronosporales; Peronosporaceae
Description: tRNA-Val
Source: RNAcentral